AUUCCAGCUCCAAUAGCGUAUAUUUAAGUUGUUGCAGUUAAAAAGCUCGUAGUUGGAUUUUGGGUCGGGGGCACCGGUCCGCCGUUCCGGUGUGCACUGGUGGCCCCUUCCUUUCUGCCGGGGACGUGCGUCGCACUUAAUUGGGUGGCGUUCGGAGUCGGCGUUGUUACUUUGAAAAAAUUAGAGUGUUCAAAGCAAGCCAUCGCUCUGAAUACAUUAGCAUGGAAUAACAUGAUAGGACUCCGGUCUUAUUUUGUUGGUUUCCGAGACUGGAGUAAUGAUUAAGAGGGACAGUCGGGGGCAUCCGUAUUUCAUUGUCAGAGGUGAAAUUCUUGGAUUUAUGAAAGACGAACUUCUGCGAAAGCAUUUGCCAAGGAUGUUUUCAUCA
RNAcentral lists this ribosomal RNA (388 nucleotides) under Prasinoderma sp. RNAcentral's name for it is "partial small subunit ribosomal RNA". It matches the Rfam family "Eukaryotic small subunit ribosomal RNA", at positions 582 to 975 of the family's 1831-position model. The record is from RNAcentral. Lineage: Eukaryota; Viridiplantae; Prasinodermophyta; Prasinodermophyceae; Prasinodermales; Prasinodermaceae.